Molecule: long non-coding RNA, 555 nt
Filed under: Capsicum annuum
Lineage: Eukaryota; Viridiplantae; Streptophyta; Magnoliopsida; Solanales; Solanaceae
Description: long non-coding RNA (CANN_LNC019658)
Source: RNAcentral
GAGAAACUAGCCCGUUUUGCAUUAAUUAGCUUUUAUCCUAUAAUAGGUCUAUAUCUGUUGUAUAUAUUAAUGUUUGCCUCUCUCUUAGUCAAAUCAACUUGUACUCAUGUCCAUGGUUAAGAACUUGUCAAUCAUGCAUUGUCAUAUAUAAAAUAGCCUUGGUUAUGUCAACCCCUGUAGUGUUAUGAUUACUACAGGAAACAUUUUUUCAUGAUGCCUGCUUAAUGCCACCAAUUUCUAUUUUGGCCUAAUCUCACACUUUAAACAUGCUAUUAUUCCUAUGACAGAAGAUCCUCUAGUUUUCUUUUCUCCUCGGUGGAAUUCAAGGAUCUUCAAAUAUAGCCAGACAAAUUAGUAACUUGCAUCUUGCUUUCCUGAUUGUGAUAUGUGCAUAUAAGGAUUUCUUUGAAUGUAGAUAUAUCCACCUCUAAAAUUGUAUUUAUCUUGAUUCUUUUGCCAGUAACUGGGAGAGUGACAACAAAGGUGGACGUGUUCAGUUUCGGUGUGAUUUUGAUGGAACUCAUCACAGGAAGAAAGGCGCUUGAUGAAAGCCAG